UUCUCAAUUUUCACUCUCAUUUUCACGCAAAAGGGUUAGGGUUCCUGACUUCCCUCCUCGCGGUUCCAUUUUUCAAUAUCAUAUGUUGCAGCCUAGCCCGUACUCGUUACCAAAAAUGACGAUCAUCUCCGGCCUACGCCACUCCAGUAUCCAUUCUCCAUUCUCGAGAUCUUAUGGAUGAUGGUGUGAUUUUAAAUCCAUCAAGUCCAAUGCAAGGGUUAGGUGAAACCGGUGCCCGUAUUCAUGGUGAGGAGCAGACAACCUCUCCAAAUUUAAAUACAUUCACUCAAAAUGCAAAUGUGAGACAAGAACAUCCAGAAACCGGUGAAGAUGAAGUGCAGUUGAAGCGGAAGCAGCAAAAAAUAUCAGAAGUAUGGAAUGAUUUUGUUGUGGUUACCCUGAAAGAUGUUAUGCAAAAACUCGAAUGUAUGCACUUUAAAACAAGAUUAUCUAAGGUUGGAUCAGGUCCUACAUCCACAAUGGCUAGACACCUAAGAAGCUGCUUACCUCAUAAAGAACAUGAAAAAAACCAAAAAUCGUUAAAUUUUCCGCCAUGUGACGCUAAUGUGGAUUCAAAAUUUGGUAAGCCUCCAAUAUUAAUAGGUCCAAAUGCAAAAUAUGAUGCUAACAAGAUGAGGGAAGCCAUAGCUAAUUGGUUACUGUGUACUGAGCAAUCUUUUAAAACCGUGGAAGAUGACAUGUAUGUGAAGAUGAUGAAGACUGCCAAUCCAUUGUUUGAAAAAAUAUGCAGAGUUACAGCUACAUCAGACUGUUUUAAAGUAUAUGAGCACGAGAAGAAGAAGUUGAAAGCCCUUACAAAAGCUGCCUAGAAAAUAUGUUUAACAACUGAUUGUUGGAAAUCCUCGCAUCAAAAAAUUGAGUAUAUGGUUAUUACUGGACGCUUCAUUGAUCAAAAUUGGAGAUUACAGAAACGCGUAUUGAGUUUCGUGCAUGUUCCUCCUCCUCGUACCGGUUUUGAUAUUGCUGAAUGUAUUUACAAAUGUUUGAAAGAGUGGGAAAUUGAAGAUAAAAUAUUCACCAUAUCAGUAGACAAUGCAGCUUAUAAUGACAGAGCGGUAAAAAGAUUGAAAGAAAUUUUUUCGACGAUAUGCAGAGUAUGAACCUCAUUUCAAUCAUUUGCCAAGAAAAGAAGAUUGAGAAAAUGUGGAAAGUGUAUGUGACCUUUUGAAAGUUUUUAAGGUGUGUACGAACAUCAUCUCAUGCAGUAACUACCCGACUGCUAAUUUAUAUCUUAUUGAAGUGUUCAGAGUGAAGCAAACUUUGGAUAAAGGUGCGUUGUCCGAGAAUGAUUUUAUCCGUGAUAUGGUGAAAAAGAUGAAGGAAAAAUUUGAUAAGUAUUGGGGGGAGUGUCAUCUUGUUAUGGCGAUAGCUUCUGUUUUAGAUCCACAUUUCAAGAUGAAGUUAGUUGAAUUUAGUUUUCCAACAAUAUAUCAAAAUCCUUAUGAGAACAUUACAGAAGUAAAGAAUGCGCUUUAUGAAAUGUAUACGGAGUAUGUAGUGAUACAUGAUACAUUAGUUAGGGAAGUUGCAACCCAUAGAAGUGAAUGUGGACGAAACAUCAUUUCAGGAUCAAAUGAAUGUACAUCACUUGGAUCGGGAUGGGAGGCAUUUGGAGAGUUUAUAAAGAAUGUAGAUUUAGAGAGACCAAAAAAGUCAGAAUUAGAUAUGUAUUUAGAAGGUGUUUAUAGGGAGCAAGUUCAAGGGGGAAUGCAAUCAUUUAAUGCAUUGGAGUGGUGGAAUGUGCACAGAUUAAAGUAUCCUAUUUUGUCCAUGAUGGCUAGAGAUGUACUUGCAAUUCCAAUUUCUACUGUUGCAUCUAAGGCAACUUUUAGUGUUGGGGUAGAGUUAUUGAUCCCUAUCGAGCUUCAUUGGCACUAGAUACAGUACAAAUGUUGAUUUGUGGAGGAGAUUGGAUUAGGCAUCUACAUGGAGUCAAGAAAAAGUUGAAGAAGGAGGAAUCUCCUACUGAGGUUUUACUACCUGUUGCUACAACAAACUAAUCGACGGUAUAAUUUGACUUUCUUUACUAUUAAUCUGAACCUUUUUUGUUGCAAAGAUUUGGAAUUUUUUGCAUUUAACCUGGAAUUUAUGCUUCUUUACUAAGGGCAAAGGGAUAAGCUUGUAGAAACUGUGGAUUGUGUAAUGUGAUGCUUUUUGUAUAAAGUUUACAUAUGUCUUAAUGUGGAGUGAAGUUACAUCCGUUGCAUCAAGGAAGAAUUAUGUUUUUGAAAGACUUGAUCUUGUGCUUUAAAUCUUAUUUUGCAAGAAUUGUGUUUUUGAAAGACUUGAUCUUGUGCUUUAAGUCUUAUUUUGCAGUAUCUAGUCACUUGGUAGUUAUUAAUUUGAAGUUUAAGUAUUUUUUUGUAAUAUGGAGUUAUUUUACAUAUUUGGUACUGUGUGCUUGGUUAAA
Molecule: non-coding RNA, 2431 nt
Organism: Lactuca sativa (garden lettuce)
Lineage: Eukaryota; Viridiplantae; Streptophyta; Magnoliopsida; Asterales; Asteraceae
Source: RefSeq, a predicted model, not a curated record